Molecule: ribosomal RNA, 301 nt
Filed under: uncultured bacterium
Lineage: Bacteria
Description: partial 16S ribosomal RNA
Rfam family: Bacterial small subunit ribosomal RNA
Source: RNAcentral
CAGUAGCCACGGGAAUACAGAGGGUGCGAGCGUUAAUCGGAUUUACUGGGCGUAAAGCGUGCGUAGGCGGCUUCUUAAGUCGGAUGUGAAAUCCCUGAGCUUAACUUAGGAAUUGCAUUCGAUACUGGGAAGCUAGAGUAUGGGAGAGGAUGGUAGAAUUCCAGGUGUAGCGGUGAAAUGCGUAGAGAUCUGGAGGAAUACCGAUGGCGAAGGCAGCCAUCUGGCCUAAUACUGACGCUGAGGUACGAAAGCAUAGGGAGCAAACAGGAUUAGAUACCCCUGUAGUCCCUGUCUCUUAUAC